RNAcentral lists this ribosomal RNA (464 nucleotides) under uncultured bacterium. Its description in RNAcentral is "partial 16S ribosomal RNA". It matches the Rfam family "Bacterial small subunit ribosomal RNA", at positions 28 to 506 of the family's 1533-position model. The record is from RNAcentral.
GACGAACGCUGGCGGCGUGCUUAACACAUGCAAGUCGAACGGAAAGGCCCUGCUUGCAGGGUACUCGAGUGGCGAACGGGUGAGUAACACGUGGGUGAUCUGCCCUGCACUUCGGGAUAAGCCUGGGAAACUGGGUCUAAUACCGGAUAGGAGCCAUUUUUAGUGUGAUGGUUGGAAAGUUUUUUCGGUGUAGGAUGAGCUCGCGGCCUAUCAGCUUGUUGGUGGGGUAAUGGCCUACCAAGGCGGCGACGGGUAGCCGGCCUGAGAGGGUGGACGGCCACAUUGGGACUGAGGUACGGCCCAGACUCCUACGGGAGGCAGCAGUGGGGAAUAUUGCACAAUGGGCGCAAGCCUGAUGCAGCGACGCCGCGUGGGGGAUGACGGCCUUCGGGUUGUAAACUCCUUUCGCUAGGGACGAAGCUUUUUGUGACGGUACCUAGAUAAGAAGCACCGGCUAACUACGU